AACGCGAAGAACCUUACCUGGGCUUGAACUACUGGUAGUAAGUCUCUGGAAACGGAGGCUGAUCCGCAAGGAAGCCAGCAGAGGUGCUGCAUGGUUGUCGUCAGCUCGUGUCGUGAGAUGUUGGGUUAAGUCCCGCAACGAGCGCAACCCCUAUCUCAUGUUGCUAAUCCCGCAAGGGAUGCACUUUUGAGAAACUGCCUUCGAUAAGAAGGAGGAAGGUGGGGACGACGUCAAAUCCUCAUGGCCCUUAUGUCCAGGGCUACACACGUGCUACAAUGGCCGGUACAACGGGAAGCAAUACCGUAAGGUGGAGCCAAACCCUGAAAGCCGGCCCCAGUUCAGAUCGUGGGCUGCAACUCGCCCACGUGAAGGCGGAAUCGCUAGUAAUCGCGAAUCAGCAGGUCGCGGUGAAUACGUUCCCGGGCCUUGUA
RNAcentral lists this ribosomal RNA (431 nucleotides) under uncultured Elusimicrobium sp. RNAcentral's name for it is "bacterial SSU rRNA". It matches the Rfam family "Bacterial small subunit ribosomal RNA", at positions 958 to 1385 of the family's 1533-position model. Lineage: Bacteria; Pseudomonadati; Elusimicrobiota; Elusimicrobia; Elusimicrobiales; Elusimicrobiaceae. The record is from RNAcentral.